GCCCGGCGUAGCGCAGAGGCAGACGCGCCGCCACUGCAUGGCGGACCACGCCGGUUCGAAUCCGGCCCCGGGCA
Molecule: transfer RNA, 74 nt
Filed under: Kitasatospora sp. MAP5-34
Lineage: Bacteria; Bacillati; Actinomycetota; Actinomycetes; Kitasatosporales; Streptomycetaceae
Description: tRNA-Ala
Source: RNAcentral